CUGUCAUACAAAAGGAGGUUAGCGCUCCCUUGACAAGAAUGGAGGAGUCCGGGCCUCAAACACGCAUGUAAUUGAGGCACCGGCACCUGGGUUGUGCAUCAAACCACUGCCUUUA
Rattus norvegicus (Norway rat) is the source of this 115-nucleotide small nuclear RNA. The record is from Ensembl. NCBI's taxonomy places the organism in Eukaryota, Metazoa, Chordata, Mammalia, Rodentia, Muridae.